RNAcentral lists this ribosomal RNA (174 nucleotides) under uncultured bacterium. RNAcentral's name for it is "partial 16S ribosomal RNA". It matches the Rfam family "Bacterial small subunit ribosomal RNA", at positions 338 to 524 of the family's 1533-position model. The record is from RNAcentral.
CCUACGGGAGGCAGCAGUGAGGAAUAUUGCGCAAUGGGGGCAACCCUGACGCAGCAAUACCGCGUGAGUGAUGAAGGCCUUCGGGUUGUAAACCUCUUUCAGGAGGGACGAAGCGAAAGUGACGGUACCUCCACAAGAAGCCCCGGCCAACUACGUGCCAGCAGCCGCGGUAAU